Molecule: ribosomal RNA, 462 nt
Filed under: uncultured bacterium
Lineage: Bacteria
Description: partial 16S ribosomal RNA
Rfam family: Bacterial small subunit ribosomal RNA
Source: RNAcentral
GACGAACGCUGGCGGCGUGCUUAACACAUGCAAGUCGAGCGGAAAGGCCCUUCGGGGUACUCGAGCGGCGAACGGGUGAGUAACACGUGAGUAACCUGCCCCAGACUUUGGGAUAACCCUCGGAAACGGGGGCUAAUACCGGAUACGACACAGCUUCGCAUGGGGUCUGUGUGGAAAGUUUUUCGGUUUGGGAUGGGCUCGCGGCCUAUCAGCUUGUUGGUGGGGUGAUGGCCUACCAAGGCGACGACGGGUAGCCGGCCUGAGAGGGCGACCGGCCACACUGGGGCUGAGACACGGCCCAGACUCCUACGGGAGGCAGCAGUGGGGAAUAUUGCACAAUGGGCGGAAGCCUGAUGCAGCGACGCCGCGUGAGGGAUGACGGCCUUCGGGUUGUAAACCUCUUUCAGCAGGGACGAAGCGUAAGUGACGGUACCUGCAGAAGAAGCGCCGGCCAACUACGUG